This 208-nucleotide long non-coding RNA is filed under the name Solanum tuberosum (potato). RNAcentral's name for it is "long non-coding RNA (STUB_LNC001381)". The record is from RNAcentral. Lineage: Eukaryota; Viridiplantae; Streptophyta; Magnoliopsida; Solanales; Solanaceae.
AACAAUCCGUGUUUGAUUGUUAUGGUUUUGUAAUGAAGCUCUUUGAUGAUUAAUAAAGUUGUUAGUUACCAAAAAAAGUUGGUCAAGGAGAUAAAUAAAUUCUUCUAUGAGGAAAUACAAUGUUAGAAAGUACAAAUGAUUUAUUUGUCUAUUGUUUUCCCUUUUAUUUGUAAACAUCUAUAUCUUAAGUUACACAUAAGUCUAUUUA